GACGAACGCUGGCGGCGUGCUUAACACAUGCAAGUCGAACGCUGAAGCUCAGCUUUUGUUGGGUGGAUGAGUGGCGAACGGGUGAGUAACACGUGAGUAACCUGCCCCCUUCUUUGGGAUAACGCCCGGAAACGGGUGCUAAUACUGGAUAUUCACUGGUCUUCGCAUGGGGGCUGGUGGAAAGGGUUUUUCUGGUGGGGGAUGGGCUCGCGGCCUAUCAGCUUGUUGGUGGGGUGAUGGCCUACCAAGGCUUUGACGGGUAGCCGGCCUGAGAGGGUGACCGGUCACAUUGGGACGGAGAUACGGCCCAGACUCCUACGGGAGGCAGCAGUGGGGAAUAUUGCACAAUGGGCGCAAGCCUGAUGCAGCGACGCCGCGUGAGGGAUGGAGGCCUUCGGGUUGUGAACCUCUUUCGCUCAUGGUCAAGCCGCAACAAUGGUUGUGGUGAGGGUAGUGGGUAAAGAAGCGCCGGCUAACUACGUG
This 483-nucleotide ribosomal RNA is filed under the name uncultured bacterium. RNAcentral's name for it is "partial 16S ribosomal RNA". It matches the Rfam family "Bacterial small subunit ribosomal RNA", at positions 28 to 507 of the family's 1533-position model. The record is from RNAcentral.